This 208-nucleotide ribosomal RNA is filed under the name uncultured bacterium. RNAcentral describes it as "partial 16S ribosomal RNA". It matches the Rfam family "Bacterial small subunit ribosomal RNA", at positions 568 to 774 of the family's 1533-position model. The record is from RNAcentral.
CGCGCAGGCGGUCUUGUCCGUCAGGUGUGAAAGCUCGGGGCUCAACCCCGGAAGUGCACUUGAAACAGCAAGACUUGAAUACGGGAGAGGAAAGCGGAAUUCCUGGUGUAGAGGUGAAAUUCGUAGAUAUCAGGAGGAACACCGAUGGCGAAGGCAGCUUUCUGGACCGAUAUUGACGCUGAGGCGCGAAGGCGUUGGGGAGCGAACG